RNAcentral lists this ribosomal RNA (446 nucleotides) under uncultured bacterium. Its description in RNAcentral is "bacterial SSU rRNA". It matches the Rfam family "Bacterial small subunit ribosomal RNA", at positions 329 to 792 of the family's 1533-position model. The record is from RNAcentral.
GCCCAGACUCCUACGGGAGGCAGCAGUGGGGAAUAUUGCACAAUGGGGGAAACCCUGAUGCGGCGACGCCGCGUGAGUGAAGAAGUAUCUCGGUACGUAAAGCUCUAUCAGCAGGGAAGAAAAUGACGGUACCUGAAGAAGAAGCCCCGGCUAACUACGUGCCAGCAGCCGCGGUAAUACGUAGGGGGCAAGCGUUAUCCGGAUUUACUGGGUGUAAAGGGGGCGCAGACGGCGAUGCAAGCCAGGGGUGAAAGCCCGGGGCCCAACCCCGGGACUGCUCUUGGAACUGCGUGGCUAGAGUGCAGGAGGGGCAGGCGGAAUUCCUGGUGUAGCGGUGAAAUGCGUAGAUAUCAGGAGGAACACCGGCGGCGAAGGCGGCCUGCUGGACCGUGACUGACGUUGAGGCUCGAGAGCGUGGGGAGCAAACAGGAUUAGAUCCCCCCGUA